RNAcentral lists this ribosomal RNA (250 nucleotides) under uncultured bacterium. RNAcentral's name for it is "partial 16S ribosomal RNA". It matches the Rfam family "Bacterial small subunit ribosomal RNA", at positions 355 to 597 of the family's 1533-position model. The record is from RNAcentral.
UCGAGAAUAAUUCACAAUGGGCGAAAGCCUGAUGGUGCAACGCCGCGUGGAGGAUGAAGGUCUUCGGAUUGUAAACUCCUGUCAUCGGGGAGUAAGACCUGGGCGUGAAUAGCGCACAGGGUUGAUAGUACCCGAAGAGGAAGGGACGGCUAACUUCGUGCCAGCAGCCGCGGUAAUACGAAGGUCCCAAGCGUUGUUCGGAAUCACUGGGCGUAAAGGGAGCGUAGGCGGCGUGGUAAGUCAGAUGUGA